RNAcentral lists this unclassified non-coding RNA (1290 nucleotides) under Zea mays. RNAcentral's name for it is "misc RNA Zm00001eb320940". The record is from RNAcentral. Lineage: Eukaryota; Viridiplantae; Streptophyta; Magnoliopsida; Poales; Poaceae.
AAGCAAAGAGAGAACGGAGAGACCGAACACAAAAGACCACGAAGCGGAAGCGCAGCCGCAGACCGCCGCCGGCGCACGACAUGUCUCGACGGCGGCGUGGAGGCUCCGAUUCGGACGGCGAGGACGAUAGCUUCCUCUACCGCUACCCCCUCCCAUCCGUCGCCGCCUCAGAGGGUGGAGGCGGCAAACCACGGGGCGGAGGCGGGGGCUCGGGCGGCCUCGCGCCGUCCAAAUCCACCGUCUACGUGUCCAACCUGGACUUCGCGCUCACCAACUCCGACCUCCACCUCCUCUUCUCCCGAUUCGGCCGCGUCGCGCGCGUCACUGUCCUCAAGGACCGUGAAUCCCGCCGCAGCCGCGGCGUCGCCUUCGUCCUCUUCGUCAGCCGGGAGGACGCCGCGGCCGCGGCCGCCGAGAUGCACGGCAAGGUGCUCAACGGGCGCACGCUCUCUGCCUCCAUCGCGGCCGAUAACGGCCGCGCCGCGGAGUUCAUCCGACGCCGCGUGUAUCGGGACAAGUCGCGGUGCUACGAGUGCGGCGAGGAGGGUCACCUCUCGUACGAGUGCCCCCGAAACCAGCUCGGGCCCCGCGAGAGGCCCGCACCGUCUAAGAAGUCGCGCCGCGGCGGCGGCGGCGGCGGCGGCGGGCGUGGUCGCGGUCGCGGGGGCCAGGCUGAUUGGCAUUCGGAUGAUGAUGAGGAUGCUGCUGCCGCCGUGGCGUUCGAGGAUGACAAGUGGGCGUCGGUGGUGGAUACAAGGGAAGUGGAGGAGAAGGCGGCUGGGAAGGGAGAAGGAAUGGGAAAGGCGGCGAGGAGGGAGAAGAGGAAAUGCUACUUCAGUGACGAGAGUGACGAGGACGACGACUAAUCUUCAGUCUAAUUAUUCGUCUGAACAACAUCCCUGGUUUGGCCACUAUGACUCAUGGAUAAAAUGGCUAUCCAGAAAAGAAAUGGUUAAUCAAAUGCUUAUGAGAACUGCUGGUCAUUAUGCUUAUAUUGUGUCAUGGGCAUAAUAGGGAGCGACAGGCAACAGCCAGGCUGGGAUAAGGCUAGAGAAUAAGAUUGAGAUGAGCUGGGAUAAGGUUAGAGAAUAAGAUUGAAAUGAGAGAAUUGUGGAGAGUUGGUUAGCAUCAGAUAAGUCCAAGAAAGUAGGAGUUAGUUGAGAGUUUGUAGGAGAAGUUGGUUAGCCAUAGGGCUAUUUAUAAGCCGCAUGGCAGCAGGGAAUAAAUCAAGCAAGAUCAUUAUCAAACCAAUCUCUCUCUCUUGCAAUGACCCUCUCAAGCGCCUAGGGC